UAAGGAUAGAAACCCGAUGAUCGUCCUCCAUGCGUUCGGAACAAGUUGCGCCGGGACGAGUUGGUACUCCCAGAGCAACUCGUUCACGAACCCAUGGAAGGAAAAUCGCUGGCCGGCCCAGAGUGCCUCCAAAUACACUCCGAUCCAGCCUAGGGGGGGGUUCGUCACCCGAUCCCCCAACCCGGCGGAUUCCAAACGGAACCCUCGCCGAGGAAAGAACCACUCCUCGGCCAUCUCCACCUCCUCCUCACUCA
Molecule: long non-coding RNA, 254 nt
Filed under: Phoenix dactylifera (date palm)
Lineage: Eukaryota; Viridiplantae; Streptophyta; Magnoliopsida; Arecales; Arecaceae
Description: long non-coding RNA (PDAC_LNC002351)
Source: RNAcentral